UUGUCAGGAGCAUAAUCCUCCCCUGUUCUUCCUCCUGGAGGGCAGAUAGAAAAUGAUGAUUGGAACUUGCAUUGUUUGCUGAUUAGCAUUUCCUUGUAACCAGGACCCGACAACAUCUGGUUGCUCCUGUCUGAU
Molecule: small nucleolar RNA, 135 nt
Filed under: Microtus ochrogaster (prairie vole)
Lineage: Eukaryota; Metazoa; Chordata; Mammalia; Rodentia; Cricetidae
Description: U8 small nucleolar RNA (ENSMOCG00000007498.1)
Rfam family: U8 small nucleolar RNA
About the family: U8 is a member of the C/D class of snoRNA which contain the C (UGAUGA) and D (CUGA) box motifs. U8 is the RNA component of a small complex (the U8 snoRNP) which is required for accumulation of mature large subunit ribosomal RNAs, 5.8S and 28S rRNAs.
Source: Rfam by way of RNAcentral